This 1372-nucleotide ribosomal RNA is filed under the name uncultured bacterium. Its description in RNAcentral is "bacterial SSU rRNA". It matches the Rfam family "Bacterial small subunit ribosomal RNA", at positions 28 to 1381 of the family's 1533-position model. The record is from RNAcentral.
GAUGAACGCUGGCGGCGUGCCUAAUACAUGCAAGUCGAGCGAACGGACGAGAAGCUUGCUUCUCUGAUGUUAGCGGCGGACGGGUGAGUAACACGUGGAUAACCUACCUAUAAGACUGGGAUAACUUCGGGAAACCGGGGCUAAUACCGGAUAAUAUUUUGAACCGCAUGGUUCAAAAGUGAAAGACGGUCUUGCUGUCACUUAUAGAUGGAUCCGCGCUGCAUUAGCUAGUUGGUAAGGUAACGGCUUACCAAGGCAACGAUGCAUAGCCGACCUGAGAGGGUGAUCGGCCACACUGGAACUGAGACACGGUCCAGACUCCUACGGGAGGCAGCAGUAGGGAAUCUUCCGCAAUGGGCGAAAGCCUGACGGAGCAACGCCGCGUGAGUGAUGAAGGUCUUCGGAUCAUAAAACUCUGUUAUUAGGGAAGAACAUAUGUGUAAGUAACUGUGCACAUCUUGACGGUACCUAAUCAGAAAGCCACGGCUAACUACGUGCCAGCAGCCGCGGUAAUACGUAGGUGGCAAGCGUUAUCCGGAAUUAUUGGGCGUAAAGCGCGCGUAGGCGGUUUUUUAAGUCUGAUGUGAAAGCCCGCGGCUCAACCGUGGAGGGUCAUUGGAAACUGGAAAACUUGAGUGCAGAAGAGGAAAGUGGAAUUCCAUGUGUAGCGGUGAAAUGCGCAGAGAUAUGGAGGAACACCAGUGGCGAAGGCGACUUUCUGGUCUGUAACUGACGCUGAUGUGCGAAAGCGUGGGGAUCAAACAGGAUUAGAUACCCUGGUAGUCCACGCCGUAAACGAUGAGUGCUAAGUGUUAGGGGGUUUCCGCCCCUUAGUGCUGCAGCUAACGCAUUAAGCACUCCGCCUGGGGAGUACGACCGCAAGGUUGAAACUCAAAGGAAUUGACGGGGACCCGCACAAGCGGUGGAGCAUGUGGUUUAAUUCGAAGCAACGCGAAGAACCUUACCAAAUCUUGACAUCCUUUGACAACUCUAGAGAUAGAGCUUUCCCCUUCGGGGGACAAAGUGACAGGUGGUGCAUGGUUGUCGUCAGCUCGUGUCGUGAGAUGUUGGGUUAAGUCCCGCAACGAGCGCAACCCUUAAGCUUAGUUGCCAUCAUUAAGUUGGGCACUCUAAGUUGACUGCCGGUGACAAACCGGAGGAAGGUGGGGAUGACGUCAAAUCAUCAUGCCCCUUAUGAUUUGGGCUACACACGUGCUACAAUGGACAAUACAAAGGGCAGCGAAACCGUGAGGUCAAGCAAAUCCCAUAAAGUUGUUCUCAGUUCGGAUUGUAGUCUGCAACUCGACUACAUGAAGCUGGAAUCGCUAGUAAUCGUAGAUCAGCAUGCUACGGUGAAUACGUUCCCGGGUCU